GGAUGCGAUCAUACCAGCACUAAAGCACCGGAUCCCAUCAGAACUCCGAAGUUAAGCGUGCUUGGGUGAGAGUAGUACUAGGAUGGGUGACCUCCUGGGAAGUCCUCAUGUUGCAUUCC
RNAcentral lists this ribosomal RNA (119 nucleotides) under Triticum aestivum (bread wheat). The record is from RNAcentral. RNAcentral also lists the same sequence under 1 other name. Lineage: Eukaryota; Viridiplantae; Streptophyta; Magnoliopsida; Poales; Poaceae.